RNAcentral lists this ribosomal RNA (420 nucleotides) under uncultured bacterium. RNAcentral's name for it is "bacterial SSU rRNA". It matches the Rfam family "Bacterial small subunit ribosomal RNA", at positions 917 to 1338 of the family's 1533-position model. The record is from RNAcentral.
GGACCCGCACAAGCGGUGGAGCAUGUGGUUUAAUUCGAUGCAACGCGAAAAACCUUACCUACUCUUGACAUCCUUGGAAUCUCUUGUAAUGAGAGAGUGCCUUUUGGAACCAAGUGACAGGUGCUGCAUGGCUGUCGUCAGCUCGUGUCGUGAGAUGUUCCGUUAAGUCGGAUAACGAGCGCAACCCUUACCCUUAUUUGCCAGCGGUUCGGCCGGGAACUAUAAGGGGACUGCCGGUGAUAAACCGGAGGAAGGUGAGGACGACGUCAAGUCAUCAUGGCCCUUACGAGUAGGGCUACACACGUGCUACAAUGGGAAGUACAGAGGGACGCCAAAGCGCGAGCUGGAGCUAAUCUCAUAAAACUUUUCGUAGUCCGGAUUGCAGUCUGCAACUCGACUGCAUGAAGUCGGAAUCGCUAG